RNAcentral lists this ribosomal RNA (445 nucleotides) under uncultured bacterium. Its description in RNAcentral is "partial 16S ribosomal RNA". It matches the Rfam family "Bacterial small subunit ribosomal RNA", at positions 354 to 796 of the family's 1533-position model. The record is from RNAcentral.
GUGAGGAAUAUUGGUCAAUGGGCGAAAGCCUGAACCAGCCAUGUCGCGUGAAGGAUGAAGGUCCUAUGGAUUGUAAACUUCUUUUGCAGGAGGGUAAAGUGAGCUACGUGUAGUUCAUUGCAAGUACCCUGCGAAUAAGCAUCGGCUAACUCCGUGCCAGCAGCCGCGGUAAUACGGAGGAUGCGAGCGUUAUCCGGAUUUAUUGGGUUUAAAGGGUGCGUAGGCGGACUAAUUAGUCAGCGGUGAAAUUUUGCGGCUCAACCGUAAAACUGCCGUUGAAACUGUUAGUCUUGAGUGCGGUAGAGGUAGGCGGAAUGUGUGGUGUAGCGGUGAAAUGCUUAGAUAUCACACAGAACACCGAUUGCGUAGGCAGCUUACUGGAGCGCAACUGACGCUGAGGCACGAAAGCGUGGGGAUCGAACAGGAUUAGAAACCCUGGUAGUCC